AAGUCGUAACAAGGUUUCCGUAGGUGAACCUGCGGAAGGAUCAUCAUGGUAUACCACAGCCAUUUUGGCUGGGGCUUGGGCCGUGUGGCUCGCCACAUGGGUCGGCCCCCCCAUUUUGCAUUCCCAGCAAACAGACAGCAAGGCAUGGAUGGCUGAGAGAACGAGGAGCAGAGGGAGCAGACACAACUUUCAACAACGGAUCACUUGGCUCUCA
RNAcentral lists this unclassified non-coding RNA (214 nucleotides) under fungal sp. RNAcentral describes it as "partial internal transcribed spacer region". The stretch from base 1 to 46 matches the Rfam family "Eukaryotic small subunit ribosomal RNA", at positions 1786 to 1831 of the family's 1831-position model. The record is from RNAcentral. Lineage: Eukaryota; Fungi.